UACGAAGGGGGCUAGCGUUGUUCGGAAUUACUGGGCGUAAAGCGCGCGUAGGCGGACCUGCAAGUCGGGGGUGAAAGCCCGAGGCUCAACCUCGGAACUGCCUUCGAUACUGCGGGUCUCGAGUCCGGGAGAGGUGAGUGGAAUUCCUAGUGUAGAGGUGAAAUUCGUAGAUAUUAGGAAGAACACCAGUGGCGAAGGCGGCUCACUGGCCCGGUACUGACGCUGAGGCGCGAAAGCGUGGGUAGCAAACAGG
RNAcentral lists this ribosomal RNA (253 nucleotides) under uncultured bacterium. RNAcentral describes it as "partial 16S ribosomal RNA". It matches the Rfam family "Bacterial small subunit ribosomal RNA", at positions 524 to 776 of the family's 1533-position model. The record is from RNAcentral.